UCCUAGCCUUGUGAGCCUCCCAGGGAGGGGCAGAGGCCACACAGGAGGUGCCACUGGGGACAGAAAGAGCACAGUCCCUGUUGCCGGGCCCUGCGGCUCUCAGGAGGCUACCACAUGUCAUGGUUUGGGGCAAGGCUGACGCUGUGGUGCCACCUUUUGCAAGCGACUUAACCUCUCUCUGCCUCCGAUUUUCCCCAGCAACACAGGCCAGGAUAAGGGGGCCUGUUUCCUACUUCACGAGGGUGAAAUGAGAAUUAAGUGAGAAAAUGGAGGGAACACGAGAGGCACAGGGCCUGGCACCUGUGUGUUCUCAGGUGAGCUCGGGGACCAGAGUUCCCCUGGCACGUCAGCUCCAUGAAGAUGGAGACAAUCGGGAGAGGCUGACACACCACACAUUGCCGGCGCUACAGUGUCUGGAGACAGUAAGACCGGUGGUCACCAGGGGAAGAGAAGAUGAACAAGAUCAACCUCACCAAAACACAAAAUACUCAGAGCCCUUGGGUAUACGGGGCACCACGAAGCCCCACUGGGCAUCCAGUGGUGCCCCAGCCCAUCCACACCAGUCCUCCCAGGGUGAAGCACAACUGCGUCCGGUGUCCAGCUGAGAUGUCAGAGGCGAUGUGGGGAGGCUGAGUGGGGAGGCCAACAGGACCAAGACCCCCUGCAACCCGGACACCUCUGGCUACUGGGCAGUGACUCGGCCUUCAUUGAUCCUUCUGGAACACACAGCCUUGUGUGCCUUCCACCCUUCCAGCCUUCCUCCAGCCUCCCCGCCAGCCAGACUCCUGGGCUUCUCCUGCAUCCCCGACCUCCAACACCAAUAUCAUAGAGGCUCCAUAAACAUUCGCCGAAUUAAAUCGUAACCAUCUGAA
Long non-coding RNA from Canis lupus familiaris (dog), 872 nucleotides. RefSeq lists it as uncharacterized. The transcript is spliced from 2 exons. The record is from RefSeq and is a predicted model, not a curated record. NCBI's taxonomy places the organism in Eukaryota, Metazoa, Chordata, Mammalia, Carnivora, Canidae.